RNAcentral lists this ribosomal RNA (451 nucleotides) under uncultured bacterium. RNAcentral describes it as "bacterial SSU rRNA". It matches the Rfam family "Bacterial small subunit ribosomal RNA", at positions 53 to 507 of the family's 1533-position model. The record is from RNAcentral.
ACAUGCAAGUCGAGCGGAAAGGCUCCUUCGGGGGUACUCGAGCGGCGAACGGGUGAGUAACACGUGAGUAAUCUGCCCUUGGCUUUGGGAUAACUACCGGAAACGGUGGCUAAUACCGGAUACGACCACUCCUUGCAGGAGGUGGUGGUGGAAAGUUUUUUCGGCCAGGGAUGUGCUCGCGGCCUAUCAGCUUGUUGGUGGGGGUAAUGGGCCUACCAAGGCUUCGACGGGUAGCCGGCCUGAGAGGGUGACCGGCCACACUGGGACUGAGACACGGCCCAGACUCCUACGGGAGGCAGCAGUGGGGAAUAUUGGACAAUGGGCGGAAGCCUGAUCCAGCAACGCCGCGUGAGGGAUGACGGCCUUCGGGUUGUAAACCUCUUUCAGUACCGACGAAGCGCCGAUGAUGGUGGUGACGGUAGGUACAGAAGAAGCACCGGCCAACUACGUG